UGGCUCAGUGGUAAAGUGCUUGCCUUGCAUGCAUGAGGCCCUGGGUUCGAUUCCCCAG
RNAcentral lists this transfer RNA (58 nucleotides) under Dipodomys ordii (Ord's kangaroo rat). It matches the Rfam family "tRNA", at positions 8 to 63 of the family's 71-position model. From Rfam's summary of the family: Transfer RNA (tRNA) molecules are approximately 80 nucleotides in length. Lineage: Eukaryota; Metazoa; Chordata; Mammalia; Rodentia; Heteromyidae. The record is from Rfam by way of RNAcentral.